UGGGGAUUUUUGGGGUAAAUUUGGGGAUUUUGGGGGUAAAUUGGGAAAUCUGGGAAAAUUUGGGGGAUUUUGGGGAGAUUUUUGGGGAUUUUGGGGUUGAAUUUUGGGGGGAUUUCUGAGGAUUUCGGUCAAAUUUUGCCGGAAUUUUGCCUGAAUUUGAUCAAAUUUAUCACAAAUCCCUGAAUUUCCCCGAUUUUGCCCACAACCCCCCAAAUCCUUCCCCAAAUUCCCCCCAAAAUUCCCGCCAAAAUCCCGAAUUUUCCCCUCAUUUCCCGCCAAGUCCCCGCGAGGGGGCGUGGCUUCCUCCAAGCCACGCCUCCUCUCUCUAAGCCACGCCCCUUCACGCCAAGCCCCGCCCCCAGGACCCGCCGGAAGUGGCGCGGUUGAAGCGAUACCUCCGAGCCGCCGGGGGGCGCCCCAACUACAAGCAGCUCUUCCGGAAGUGCCGCAGCCGCCGCGAGGUGCUGGAGGCGCUGAGGGGAGCCCUGCGCGACCUGGGGCUGCGCGGCACCCCCUCCCUGGCCCGGUGCCGCCCGCCGCCCGCAGGCAAAAAACCAACUCCGCCCCGCCUCCAACAUCUUACCCGCGAGAUCCCGGCGGAGAAACCCCGAAAAUGCCCCAAAAUCGCCCCCGAAAUCGCCCCUUCCCCCCCCGGAUUGGUCGCGGCUCCGCGGCGUCGUCAGCUCGGACAGCGAGUGAAGGGAAUUUGGGACUUUUUUUUUUGGGGGGAAUUCUCGGGGUUUUGGGGUUUUUUUUUUUUUAACGGGCUCGGUGUUUGCGUUGUAAAGUUGUUGUAAAAAUUAAAAAGGUUGUUGUAAAAAUGGCUGGGAAAAUCCAUAAAAUGGCCCAAAAGUCGAUGUGAAAUUCCCUAAAUUCAGCCCAGAAAUGGCCCCAAAAUGGCUCAAAAAUACCCCAAAAAUCGCCCUAAAAAUGCCCCAAAAAUUCCCC
This 948-nucleotide long non-coding RNA is filed under the name Camarhynchus parvulus. Its description in RNAcentral is "lncRNA (ENSCPVG00000017791.1)". The record is from RNAcentral. Lineage: Eukaryota; Metazoa; Chordata; Aves; Passeriformes; Thraupidae.